AGAUGAAGCACGUGAAGACGAGUUCGAGAGAAGCGACGAUGAUGAUUGUAAUGAUAGUGAUGAGAACGAAAACGAUUUAGAGUGAUAUAAUAGUGAUUAGAACGAAAACGAUUUAGAGUGAUGUAAUAUAUGUAUCAAAUGUUGGAUUUCUCUAUUGUAACAUUUUCUAAAAGAAAGAGUAAGAAGUAGUAUGAAAUAAGAUAUGAUGUUAGAUGAUAUGUGACUUUGGGGUUUAGGGAUUUCAUUCUCGGUGUUUAGGGUUAAGCGUCGUAAUUUCGUCGUAAAUGGAAAAACGCGGGCCUGGUAAUUUCUUCGUAAAACGAAAAACACGGGUCUGGUAAUUUCGUCGUAAAACGAAAAACACGGGCAUGGUAAUUUCGUCGUAAAUGAAAAAACGCGGGCCUGGUAAAUUCGUCGUAAAUGGAAAAACGCGGGCCUGGUAAAUUCGUCGUAAACUUACGUCGCUUUUACGACGAAUCCUAAUCUAUAUAAGGAGACGCCGAGAGCGAGGCUGCCUCGCUCAUUCCUCCCAAAUUCCUUUGCUCUCUCUAAGGUAAACUCUCUCUUCUCUCUUUUUUUUUUUUUUUAAAUUAGUUUAGGUGAUUAGUUAGGUAACGGAAUUAGUUUAGGUGAUUAGUUAGGUAAUUAGUUUAGGUGAUUAGUUAGGUAACGGAAUAAUAUUUUUAUUAUGUCGUAAUUGAUUAAAUGUAUUUUAGUUUUUUUUAGAUGGCUCCU
This 735-nucleotide long non-coding RNA is filed under the name Brassica rapa (field mustard). RNAcentral's name for it is "long non-coding RNA (BRAP_LNC007054)". The record is from RNAcentral. Lineage: Eukaryota; Viridiplantae; Streptophyta; Magnoliopsida; Brassicales; Brassicaceae.